GGUCACACAUGGCCUUCUUUAUUCCCACAUUGCCUAUUUUGCAUGAAACCGCGAACAUUCCUCUAUCCUUGCAUUUGGUGGGAAGUUUCCUUUGAAUGGCAGCUGAGACACACUCCCCCACACUUACCUUUUCAUGUUCAGCAAGUUUCCUCCUAUUGGUGCAUAGUUUUUUGAGAAAUUUAGCAUACCUUGGUAUUUGUUUGAUAGCAUCAAGUAGAGGUAUAUUGAUUUCCACCUUGCGGAGUGUCUCAAGUAUCUCUUUUUCCUCUUUUUCUUUUUGAGAUCUUGCAAAUCUUUUGGGAAAAGGGUAAGGUACCUUGAAUUUUUCUGCUGGUUGUUGUUUCU
This 345-nucleotide long non-coding RNA is filed under the name Manihot esculenta (cassava). RNAcentral's name for it is "long non-coding RNA (MESC_LNC004934)". The record is from RNAcentral. Lineage: Eukaryota; Viridiplantae; Streptophyta; Magnoliopsida; Malpighiales; Euphorbiaceae.